AGGGCAGACAAAGCCCCCUUCACCGUCGCCAUCGCAAUGUCCCUGCUGGGGCUGGGAUCGGGACCGCAGCGGCGAGUCCCCGGAGCGGGAGCGACUGCCCAGCGCCAGAAGGAAGCGGCUGAAGAGGCGGCGCAGGGAGCGGCGGCGGCGGGGCCGGGGCGCGGGCGGCCCCUCUCCAGCCGCGUCCCCCGGGCCCGGGUCCAUGGCUCCCUCCGGUGUGGCCCCCGGAGCGCAGCCCCCGGGCCCGAGGCCGACCAGCAGCUCUCAGGACCUUACAACCCGGGAAAGGCGCCGAGCACCGGCUACCUGCGGGCCAGGUGUGCGCGGACGGGGCGGAGGCGGAGCCAAGGGCGGGGCCGCCCCGCCCCGCGCGGGAAUCUGGCUGCAGGGCCGGCCUUAGGGCAGUGCUGGGCCACCCGCAACCCCCCCCCCCCCGCUGGUCCCUCCCCCACGGUACAGACAGGAAUAAAAGCGCUGGGAGACUGUCGUCGUCUGAUUCCCCACCCUUCCUUACCUCUUAAAAACCAAGACAACUGGGUUUCACCUCUGCGCCCGUUCCCCGCCCAUCCUUCAAGCUUUGGAAAUAAAACAGGAAUGGAAAUUUCGAAAAUGCCAAGGAAAUGGCAAAGCCCUGGCUAUUACUAAUUCUCUUGGUUUAAAGUCCAGAUGAAAACGAAGAAAAGGGAGAAAGUCUCCCAAGGGCAGCCUCAGGUGUGGUGAGAGACGCGCUUUGGGAGCUGUGAAGGGGUGGGGGAGCGCUUUUGUGCACCGCUGGUUCCCCCGCAGGCUCAGGUGUGUGCGGACAGGUGUUGCCAUCUCCUAGCAGCUCAUCCGCCCCUGGGAACAGGCAGAGCCUUCCCAGGACCUGAACUGGGAGCCGCGUUGUUGCCCUGGGAAGAAACACCCAAACUGCUUGUGGGUUUCUUUUUUAGGCUACAGACUAUAGUCGUAUUCCAAAAACUUGCGAGACUUGAUCAUCCUCGUUUUAAUUGGUGGAGAAGUGGGCUUUGAGAGGUUCACGCAACGUAGGGGAGGCCGACCUGUAAGGAGAACCGGAACUCGACCCGGCUCUAAGGAUUGGCAAGCUCAGGCCCUUUCCGACCUCAGUAUUUGCUCAGCAGGAAGUUUUCCGGCUCUCAGGCGCGCCCCCUACGCCUUUGCCGGUUCACUCAACGCAAAAUCCUAGCUGCACCGUGGCCCAAUCAGAGACUUAUGCGGAGGCCCAUGAUGUUGCCGCUGUGUCCCACACCGACAAACUCCUGAUAUUCACGUCUUCCCACCAGCACCUCUAAACCACGGACAGCCAUGGAGGCCAAGGGCUUCUGCGGAACCUCCCUUUACUGUUAAAUCCACCCUCCUUUGGAGUCUCUGCUCAUGCUCAGUAAAAUACGGACACGA
Marmota monax (woodchuck) is the source of this 1398-nucleotide long non-coding RNA. RefSeq lists it as uncharacterized. The record is from RefSeq and is a predicted model, not a curated record. Lineage: Eukaryota; Metazoa; Chordata; Mammalia; Rodentia; Sciuridae. The transcript has 3 exons.